Molecule: ribosomal RNA, 1370 nt
Filed under: Escherichia coli
Lineage: Bacteria; Pseudomonadati; Pseudomonadota; Gammaproteobacteria; Enterobacterales; Enterobacteriaceae
Description: partial 23S ribosomal RNA
Rfam family: Bacterial large subunit ribosomal RNA
Source: RNAcentral
ACGGUUGUCCCGGUUUAAGCGUGUAGGCUGGUUUUCCAGGCAAAUCCGGAAAAUCAAGGCUGAGGCGUGAUGACGAGGCACUACGGUGCUGAAGCAACAAAUGCCCUGCUUCCAGGAAAAGCCUCUAAGCAUCAGGUAACAUCAAAUCGUACCCCAAACCGACACAGGUGGUCAGGUAGAGAAUACCAAGGCGCUUGAGAGAACUCGGGUGAAGGAACUAGGCAAAAUGGUGCCGUAACUUCGGGAGAAGGCACGCUGAUAUGUAGGUGAAGUCCCUCGCGGAUGGAGCUGAAAUCAGUCGAAGAUACCAGCUGGCUGCAACUGUUUAUUAAAAACACAGCACUGUGCAAACACGAAAGUGGACGUAUACGGUGUGACGCCUGCCCGGUGCCGGAAGGUUAAUUGAUGGGGUCAGCGCAAGCGAAGCUCUUGAUCGAAGCCCCGGUAAACGGCGGCCGUAACUAUAACGGUCCUAAGGUAGCGAAAUUCCUUGUCGGGUAAGUUCCGACCUGCACGAAUGGCGUAAUGAUGGCCAGGCUGUCUCCACCCGAGACUCAGUGAAAUUGAACUCGCUGUGAAGAUGCAGUGUACCCGCGGCAAGACGGAAAGACCCCGUGAACCUUUACUAUAGCUUGACACUGAACAUUGAGCCUUGAUGUGUAGGAUAGGUGGGAGGCUUUGAAGUGUGGACGCCAGUCUGCAUGGAGCCGACCUUGAAAUACCACCCUUUAAUGUUUGAUGUUCUAACGUGGACCCGUGAUCCGGGUUGCGGACAGUGUCUGGUGGGUAGUUUGACUGGGGCGGUCUCCUCCUAAAGAGUAACGGAGGAGCACGAAGGUUGGCUAAUCCUGGUCGGACAUCAGGAGGUUAGUGCAAUGGCAUAAGCCAGCUUGACUGCGAGCGUGACGGCGCGAGCAGGUGCGAAAGCAGGUCAUAGUGAUCCGGUGGUUCUGAAUGGAAGGGCCAUCGCUCAACGGAUAAAAGGUACUCCGGGGAUAACAGGCUGAUACCGCCCAAGAGUUCAUAUCGACGGCGGUGUUUGGCACCUCGAUGUCGGCUCAUCACAUCCUGGGGCUGAAGUAGGUCCCAAGGGUAUGGCUGUUCGCCAUUUAAAGUGGUACGCGAGCUGGGUUUAGAACGUCGUGAGACAGUUCGGUCCCUAUCUGCCGUGGGCGCUGGAGAACUGAGGGGGGCUGCUCCUAGUACGAGAGGACCGGAGUGGACGCAUCACUGGUGUUCGGGUUGUCAUGCCAAUGGCACUGCCCGGUAGCUAAAUGCGGAAGAGAUAAGUGCUGAAAGCAUCUAAGCACGAAACUUGCCCCGAGAUGAGUUCUCCCUGACCCUUUAAGGGUCCUGAAGGAACGUUGAAG